UACAGCAUCUCCAAUGAGGUCGAAGGCGUGGCCUAGAAUCUUGAAAGCUUCUUCCGCACCGGCUUGUUGGUUCUAAAAACAAAAUGGCAAGAAGUCGCUGCAUGGCUUCAUCACCUGUAGAGCAAUGAUUUAUUAGAACUUCAGGGAUGUUUCAGAUGAACUACUACUACUAGGCGGUGGGGGAGUAGACCACGAAAUUUCAGUCACUGCGUGGCACACAGUCAAAUCAACGUUUUCAUUGGAAACAUUACUGCAUGUUUUGGCAGGCACCAUUUGUUCAAAAUGUUUACUGUCUGUGAAUUCUUGUUUCAACAACUCUGGCAGAGUUUUUGCACAUUUUAUUUUUUUUAUGUUGCAGUUUCUUUUUGUUUACAGACAGACGCUGACUUUUCAUAGUAACUGAAUGUUCCUUACAGUUUACUCAAGGGGCCUUUUCACAGAUGUUGGCAUGUUUUGAAGUUUGUCAUUAAAUGCU
This is a long non-coding RNA of Dreissena polymorpha, 475 nucleotides long. RefSeq lists it as uncharacterized. The transcript is spliced from 3 exons. The record is from RefSeq and is a predicted model, not a curated record. Lineage: Eukaryota; Metazoa; Mollusca; Bivalvia; Myida; Dreissenidae.